Branchiostoma floridae (Florida lancelet) is the source of this 2590-nucleotide long non-coding RNA. RefSeq lists it as uncharacterized. The record is from RefSeq and is a predicted model, not a curated record. NCBI's taxonomy places the organism in Eukaryota, Metazoa, Chordata, Leptocardii, Amphioxiformes, Branchiostomatidae. The transcript is spliced from 3 exons.
UUCCUGCGCUGUGAUUGGCGAUGCCUAUAUUAGGCGAAGACCCAAUCCCAUAUAAAGGCAGGAUAGACUAUUCACAUGCAGUUUGACGGACUCCUCCCCACAGCCGGUUCGUCGACGCCAUGGCUACGGAAACACAGAAGAUCCACAGAAAGACCGCCAGCAGGUUUUCGGGGUGUAGAAGAGAGACCGAGUAUUUACCUCGUUUGCGUUUACAGGGAGUAUAGAAUUCGAAGAUUGCCCUUUUAGUGUCAUGAAGAUUUCGUAUUUUAUUUUGCUUUGUGAAACUGCGAGAAGUUGUUGCUGCGUAGGGACGAAUGUGAGUUGUCUGCGGUUUGCACGUGUAUCGCUCUUUGUCAUGCUGAGGUCCGUUCUUCUCGCAGACACUGGCGUGCCGGGCAUUGUGUAUGGGUUAUGGAAGAAAGCAUGCCUCACUGCGAGAAUAGACGCUUAUUUUGGGCGUUUGUUAGACAUCACAGGUAUAUGCAGUACUGUCUGAAAGGACGUCGACGGAGAAGGCAAGUGACACCGCCGGCACGGCCGACCCCAGCAUGACUGACGCAGCAGCCUUGUGAAUGAGCCGGACGUUCCAUAGCAGGGCACCAGUAACACUGUUUUUGACAGUGAGACUCACCAGGACAAGUCUGCGAUAUCUACGACCUUCUGGGAACGGGUAGGGAAAAUUGCCGACAACAGAGAAGAUAGAGUAGUUUCCUACGGGCGUAGGAUUUACAAGCCAAGCAGGAGCCUUUAUGAAGCGGUACAACGUUGUUCCAGUUUCCGCACGCUCGGAGCAGAGCCCGACCUUUUUUUAUCAAGAAAGAGUCGGAGGCUUCAACUUAUCACUGGUAGCUCUAUGGGUGAGUUACGUUGUUUGAAAGGCUUUAGACAGUAUUUGGUAUAGUUUUUUGUCUGCCUAUCACGUUUGUUGUUGUUGUUGUGGAAGGACUCGAACGUAUUGCCUUAUUUUACGUAUUUUCCUUUGUUUUUUUCUGUAUAUUUGCUUUGUUUAAUUUUGAAGUUAGGCUCGGCGAUUCUGGGCAUUGCAUUUUGUGGACCAGCCAGCAUUCAGCAACCCGAAAAGCUGAGGGACCAGGCCUCAAGACGCUCGGACAGCUGUCAACCACUGCGGCAGUUCUCCUAAGGAAGCAUUCAGUACAACGCGCGUGGGUGUGAUGCGAGGACGUCUGAAAAUACCACCUCAAGUUCAGCAACUUAGACCCACCAGCCAACUGAGAAGUACACGCAGCAAACCAUAUGGGAGGACGGCGUACAGGCAGGGAUGGUGGCCAAGCAAAGGGAUCAAGAAGUUUAAAACCAGACUUAAAAUUCAGAAACAGAGAGACAACAGCCCCAGAAUUUUUUACUCUCUCGUACGUUCGAAUUGUGACCUGAAUUAACAUUUUGCCUUAAAGUAACAGAGUAUGUUAGAGGGCGUCUGUUAAACGCUUUCUUCGUAAAAAAAAAAGAACAUCUAUACUGUCUUAGAGUUCACUGUAGGGAUGACCACUGUAUUUGCUUGUUUUUAAUUAGAACACAUCAACGUCAGAAGUUGUCCAGGAAGUGACAUAUUUUUCGUUGUAAUGUUGAGAAACAACUAGUUAUUAAAUCGGUUUGCUGUUUUCGUCUGUCUCCAUUUUCUUUACUUGGUAGUACGUUCCAGCGCUUAUGGUUUAUAAGUAAUUUGAAAAGGAGCAUGUUUAAUAUAAAGUGCCAUGGAUAAAUACAGGUUCGUGUAUCUUGGGUAGUAAUUUGUUGAUAACUUGACGAGGCACGAAAGUUAAAAGGCAGCAGUUAUUUUUGUCAUUUUAUCGAAACAUUUAGGCCAAAGUCUAAUUUUGUUUCGUAGGUAGAUCUGACAUGUUUAGCUGUAAUGAGUCCAAAGAUGACGCUAUAAAAGUUUCAGGUUAAUAUAGCCAGUAUUAAAAGAUCACUGCUUACUUUCUAACUGUCAGCCUUUAUUGGCACACACAGGGUUAAGGCUUAUUUAUAGAAGACAUGAAGGUUUUGCUGCACAUAAAAUAGAAUGUCUUCAAUUUAUCACAUAUGCUUUCCAACCUAGACCUAGUAAUAUAGGGUUGGCUACCCAGCGCAAAACGGCAUUGGCCAAAACUGGUUUCGUCAAGUAUGUAUCAAUUCAAGGGUUAGUGGAUUUUCCAGAGAGGUUGUUAUCAGUGAAAAGCUAGAACAGUAGUGAGGAGGACUCUAACACUUCAAUACAGAUUUUUUUGUUUAGAUACAAUUAUCCCAAUGUAUGUGACGUAGCUUGGUUUGCUAAACGGCAGUUGAAACAAAUAUUUGAAACCGAAUGUCGACAUUUUUUUUUUGUUUAUACCCGAGUUCUGAUAGGGAGAAAUGGGAUUAUAUUGGGUAUUUAUUCUUGCAAUAUGUCUGGGCCAUUUGUGUACGUCGAAUUUGGAGAGAUCCGUUAUACGAAAGUUACAUCUGCUGCGAUAAUAGACCAUUGUUACGUACCGUGUCUAUUCUAUUUAUGGGGUUGGAAGUAUAUUUGGAGUUUGCAACAUCUGACAGAGGACACUUCUAGUAGUUUUUAGAAGAGGACCGCCGGCGAUGCAAGAAAUAAAAAGUUUUA